This 241-nucleotide ribosomal RNA is filed under the name uncultured bacterium. Its description in RNAcentral is "partial 16S ribosomal RNA". It matches the Rfam family "Bacterial small subunit ribosomal RNA", at positions 91 to 334 of the family's 1533-position model. The record is from RNAcentral.
CUAAGAGGCGGACGGGUGAGUAAUGUAUAGUUAAUCUGCCCUUUAGAGGGGGAUAACAGUUGGAAACGACUGCUAAUACCCCAUACUCCUUUUACAUUAAUUGUAAUUGGGAAACGUUUUUUCGCUAAAGGAUGAGACUAUAUGGUAUCAGGUAGUUGGUAGGGUAAGAGCCUACCAAGCCAAUGACGCCUAGCUGGUCUGAGAGGAUGAUCAGCCACACUGGAACUGAGACACGGUCCAG